UCCUAGGUUUCAUUAUCUUUUCUCAGCAGCACAAAACCACAAGAAAAGGAGAAGGUUGUACGGAGACAGGGGCUCAGGGGAUGGUGGUCGACGGCGACAGGGGGUCGGGUUCGUGCUGUACGGCGGCAAGGGGCUCGGGGCUGGACUCGAUGGCGGGUGGGGGGGUCUCGGGUCUGGGCUCGACGGUGCAGGGGCUGGGCAUUUUCUCAGUCCAUUCCCUCUUUCAGUCACUCAGGGUUGCAAAGAUUAUUGGGAAAGGUAUAACAAAAAAAAAAUGUCAUGAUGCUGCCAUAGUUGAUUAUUCCAAUGCUUAAAGUGGACAAGAAGUGUUCAUUCAAAGAAAGAGAUUGAGAGAAAGGUUGCUAGUUAUUGAUUAAUUUAGUCAAUUGAGUUAUAUAUGCUCUUUUUUAUUGUACUAAUAAGUAGGAAUUUAUUCUAUUUUAUAUUGAAUCAAGUUGUCGUUUAUAAUACAUGUUGAGAAAUUGAAAUUUCUUUUAAAAAAAUUUGGCGUUUUUUCAGUA
Molecule: long non-coding RNA, 521 nt
Organism: Humulus lupulus (European hop)
Lineage: Eukaryota; Viridiplantae; Streptophyta; Magnoliopsida; Rosales; Cannabaceae
Exons: 2
Source: RefSeq, a predicted model, not a curated record